Long non-coding RNA from Cololabis saira (Pacific saury), 428 nucleotides. RefSeq lists it as uncharacterized. The record is from RefSeq and is a predicted model, not a curated record. The transcript is spliced from 3 exons. NCBI's taxonomy places the organism in Eukaryota, Metazoa, Chordata, Actinopteri, Beloniformes, Belonidae.
AAUGCAGUCAAAGCUGGACUGAGGCUUGUCUUUGCUGUCACUGGACAGGUAGAAGGAGAAGACUCUGAAAGCGUCCGGAGCCUCGGGGGUCGGUACCGGGAUCUUUACGUACUGUCGAAGACAAAGACGUAAAAGAGCAUCUUUCAGACGAAUGAGAAGAUAUUUAGGACAAGUGCCGCGAUGAGCAGAAGCCAAAAACGACACAUCAACACCUGGCGACUGGGAAGAGCGGCAGCGGCAGGAGUUUGUUCGGGCGACAGGGCGCCUGGUGGUUCGAAGAAAGGUGACCUGCCGUCUGUCGGGAGAGGCAACAACAAAACAAGAGCGUGGCUUCUUCACCUGGACGACGAACUCUUCACCUCCUCCAUCAGUGGCUGCCUGUCACCCCCCUGCCCAACAAACAAGCCAGCAGGGCUACGUCUAUCUCC